GCUUAUGUGGGCCUCAGUGGUUAAGACCGGUCCUUGAGGAAAAUGGACUUGAGUUGUUCUUCCUCUGGAAGCAGAGUUGGACACCUUCCUGGCUAAUGAGUGUCCUCAUCAAGAUGUCCCUUGGAGUCACUCCCUGGAUUGACCCAGAAAGUGACAUGAUCUAAAUAUCCUGGGAUUCCACCACCUCCAACCACCUGGAACUCAGUGGAAACGGGACUGUUGUGCACCAGGAAGAAGUCCGACUCAACUGCAGGGAAGACUUUGAACCGUCUUGAACCAUCCAGAAGUACUUCAUAGAAGGGACCUGUAAUCAGAUUGUGAUGUACCUUUUCUGCCCUUCUGUGAUCUCAGUGGCAACCUGAAUCACCCUUCCACAAACCAUGACUUUUAGAAGAUUCUCCUAAUGUAUUACAGACCCUGGGUUUUUUCCUGUGUCAUGUGAUCGUGGCAGGUGGCCUAGCUCCAGUAGAUCUUUUGAAUAGAUGGAUACAUACUUCUCCUUUAUUAAGGAAAAAUUAAGAAAUAGAAACCCAAAGCACCAUGAAACUUAAAGCUUGAUCUCCAUUAAAAGAAAUUAAUCAGUUAA
Long non-coding RNA from Neogale vison (American mink), 586 nucleotides. RefSeq lists it as uncharacterized. NCBI's taxonomy places the organism in Eukaryota, Metazoa, Chordata, Mammalia, Carnivora, Mustelidae. The transcript has 2 exons. The record is from RefSeq and is a predicted model, not a curated record.